UGCGCAGGCGGUUCGUUGUGUCUGCUGUGAAAUCCCCGGGCUCAACCUGGGAAUGGCAGUGGAAACUGGCGAGCUUGAGUGUGGCAGAGGGGGGUGGAAUUCCGCGUGUAGCAGUGAAAUGCGUAGAGAUGCGGAGGAACACCGAUGGCGAAGGCAACCCCCUGGGCUGACACUGACGCUCAGGCACGAAAGCGUGGGGAGCAAACAGGAUUAGAUACCCUGGUAGUCCACGCCCUAAACGAUGUCAACUGGGUGUUGGGGAAGCGAUUUCUCAGUACCGUAGCUAACGCGUGAAGUUGACCGCCUGGGGAGUACGGCCGCAAGGUUAAA
This 330-nucleotide ribosomal RNA is filed under the name uncultured bacterium. RNAcentral's name for it is "bacterial SSU rRNA". It matches the Rfam family "Bacterial small subunit ribosomal RNA", at positions 568 to 898 of the family's 1533-position model. The record is from RNAcentral.